Long non-coding RNA from Bubalus bubalis (water buffalo), 677 nucleotides. RefSeq lists it as uncharacterized. The record is from RefSeq and is a predicted model, not a curated record. NCBI's taxonomy places the organism in Eukaryota, Metazoa, Chordata, Mammalia, Artiodactyla, Bovidae. The transcript has 3 exons.
AACAUCAUGUCCAGUACUUUGCAAAAUUCUUUCAGAUCCUCUACUGACAGCUUCAGUAGAAACGUCACCACAAGCCUACUCGGUUGCAGUGAGACAGGUUCUCAUUUUGUAUUUCACCUUGGAAACAUAUCUACAAUCCUGGCAAAGAAUCAUUCUUCUCCAUCACACUGCAGGACUUAACUUGCUAAAAAAGGAAAAUUGGAUUUCAGAUGCCAGAUAAGCUUGCUCCCCUCUGGGGGCAGAAGAGACUUGGAAAGAUGAUGUGCAGCCACAUGCCAGUGCCCAGGCGAGGUCUGCUAGCUGAAUUCAUCCCUGUGGAGGUGGAGUUCAGCUGAGCUACAUGGCUAGUCCAAGUGCUUCUUGCUGCACCUUCUACCCAUCUGGAUCCUCUCAUCACCUAGGUUUCUUCGCAAAUGUCAGCUCCUCUGAGAUACCUUCCGUGUUUCUUCUCUCCCACAGCACCUGGAUCUUAUACAUCAUUAUAUACCUAAUGACUUUGUAAUCACAUGUUUCUUUGUGUGUUGCUUUUUUUUUUAACAUCUGCCUUUCCAGUUAGACUGUAAACACAGGAACCAGAACUUUACUUUGGACACCAUGACUGUCAUAGAGCUUCAGAGGCAUUCAUGAAAACACUUGUUGAACAAACUGCCAGAAUAAACACAGAUAUUAACAACUUA